UACGUAGGCAGCGAGCGUUGUUCGGAGUUACUGGGCGUAAAGGGUGUGUAGGCGGUUGUUUAAGUUUGGUGUGAAAUCUCCCGGCUCAACUGGGAGGGUGCGCCGAAUACUGAAUGACUAGAGUGCGGGAGAGGAAAGUGGAAUUCCUGGUGUAGCGGUGAAAUGCGUAGAUACCAGGAGGAACACCGGUGGUGUAGACGGCUUUCUGGACCGUAACUGACGCUGAGACACGAAAGCGUGGGUAGCAAACAGG
Molecule: ribosomal RNA, 253 nt
Filed under: uncultured bacterium
Lineage: Bacteria
Description: partial 16S ribosomal RNA
Rfam family: Bacterial small subunit ribosomal RNA
Source: RNAcentral